This is a non-coding RNA of Nemania abortiva, 128 nucleotides long. Lineage: Eukaryota; Fungi; Ascomycota; Sordariomycetes; Xylariales; Xylariaceae. The record is from the annotation of a GenBank genome assembly.
GCCCAUCUAGUGUAAUGGAAACACGACCUGAUAGUGUCACACCAGCCCCUUCGCCACCUUUACUGCGUGGUAGGAAUAAGCCUGACGAGAUCAUCAAGGGUUUCUUGGUUCAAAUCCAAGGAUGGGCA